GAAAUGCGAUAAGUAGUGUGAAUUGCAGAAUUCAGUGAAUCAUCGAAUCUUUGAACGCACAUUGCGCCCCUUGGUAUUCCAUGGGGCAUGCCUGUUCGAGCGUCAUUUGUACCCUCAAGCUCUGCUUGGUGUUGGGUGUUUGUCCCCGUCUCCGCGCGUGGACUCGCCCCAAGGUGAUUGGCAGCCGGCGUACUGGUCCCGGAGCGCAGCACAUGUCGCGCAAACGAGUGCCUUGGUACGGCGGCGUCCAUAAGCCCCUCUCUCACGCUCUUGACCUCGGAUCAGGUAGGGAUACCCGCUGAACUUAAGC
This 310-nucleotide unclassified non-coding RNA is filed under the name plant metagenome. Its description in RNAcentral is "partial contains 5.8S ribosomal RNA, internal transcribed spacer 2, and large subunit ribosomal RNA". The stretch from base 1 to 105 matches the Rfam family "5.8S ribosomal RNA", at positions 50 to 154 of the family's 154-position model. The record is from RNAcentral.